GACGAAGGGGGCUAGCGUUGUUCGGAAUUACUGGGCGUAAAGCGAGUGUAGGCGGUUGCCCAAGUCAGGUGUGAAAGCCUUGAGCUCAACUCAAGAAAUGCACUUGGUACUGGGUGACUAGAGGACCGGAGAGGAUAGUGGAAUUCCCGGUGUAGCGGUGAAAUGCGCAGAUAUCGGGAAGAACACCCGUGGCGAAGGCGGCUCUCUGGGACGGUACUGACGCUGAGACGCGAAAGCGUGGGGAGCGAACAGG
Molecule: ribosomal RNA, 253 nt
Filed under: uncultured bacterium
Lineage: Bacteria
Description: partial 16S ribosomal RNA
Rfam family: Bacterial small subunit ribosomal RNA
Source: RNAcentral